CUAUAAAUUAUUUUCCAAUAUUAAAUCCAAAUAUAAAUCCUAAUCCCAAAUAGAAUGAAACAAAAUAAAUAACAUAGUACAUAUUUAUGAAAUUCUGAAAUGUCUAUGAUUGCAUAGAAAAAGUUAAUGUUGAUCCCAAUCAUCCUCUCUUACCUUCUAAAAACUAAACCCUAAAUUCUAAUCACUAAACCCUAACCCAAAUAUAAACACUAAACUCAAAUAUCAAAAUCUAAAAAAUACAUAAUGUUAUGUAAUAUUCAAUUAUAUUAUGUUAUAUUAAAUUAUAUUAUGUAACAUGCCAAUUAUAUAUCACCAAAAUUAAAACACAUGAUAUGAAAGUUCAGAAGUGUUCUAUUCCAUAUCACCGAAAUAGUAUAUAACACCAACCCCAUAUCAGCUCCUCAAUAAUAAACCAUAUUUAAAACUUCAUCACAAACCCCUUAAUACUUAACAUUAAACCAUAAUCACUACACUCUAAACUCAAAUAUAAACCCUACACCCAAAUAUAAACCAUAAACCCAAAUAUUAAAAAUAUGUAAAGUUAUUAAUUUUCUUUAAAUCAUAAACCUAAC
RNAcentral lists this long non-coding RNA (572 nucleotides) under Brassica napus (rape). RNAcentral describes it as "long non-coding RNA (BNAP_LNC019525)". Lineage: Eukaryota; Viridiplantae; Streptophyta; Magnoliopsida; Brassicales; Brassicaceae. The record is from RNAcentral.